GAUGAACGCUAGCGGCAGGCUUAAUACAUGCAAGUCGAGGGGCAGCGCAGUGUAGCAAUACAUGGGCGGCGACCGGCAAACGGGUGCGGAACACGUACAGAACCUUCCUUCGAGCGGGGAAUAGCCCAGAGAAAUUUGGAUUAAUACCCCACUAGUAUAUUGAUAAGGCAUCUUAUUAAUAUUAAAGAUUAUUCACUUGUAAGAUGGCUGUGCGGCUGAUUAGGA
Molecule: ribosomal RNA, 225 nt
Filed under: uncultured bacterium
Lineage: Bacteria
Description: partial 16S ribosomal RNA
Rfam family: Bacterial small subunit ribosomal RNA
Source: RNAcentral